This 119-nucleotide ribosomal RNA is filed under the name Beta vulgaris subsp. vulgaris (sugar beet). The record is from RNAcentral. Lineage: Eukaryota; Viridiplantae; Streptophyta; Magnoliopsida; Caryophyllales; Amaranthaceae.
GGGUGCGAUUUUACCAGCAAUAAUGCACCAGAUCCCAUUAAAACUCGGCAGUUAAGCGUGCUUGGGCGAGAGUAGUACUAGGAUGGGUGACCUUAUGGGAUGUUCUCGUCUUGCACCCC